Molecule: transfer RNA, 73 nt
Filed under: Ailuropoda melanoleuca (giant panda)
Lineage: Eukaryota; Metazoa; Chordata; Mammalia; Carnivora; Ursidae
Rfam family: tRNA
About the family: Transfer RNA (tRNA) molecules are approximately 80 nucleotides in length. Their secondary structure includes four short double-helical elements and three loops (D, anti-codon, and T loops).
Source: Rfam by way of RNAcentral
GCUGGGCUGGCUCAGUCAGUAGAGCAUGUGACUCUUGAUCUUGGGGUCGUGAGUUCAAGCCCCACGUUGGGCA